Molecule: transfer RNA, 85 nt
Filed under: Halobacteriales archaeon QS_1_68_17
Lineage: Archaea; Methanobacteriati; Methanobacteriota; Halobacteria; Halobacteriales
Description: tRNA-Ser
Rfam family: tRNA
About the family: Transfer RNA (tRNA) molecules are approximately 80 nucleotides in length.
Source: RNAcentral
GGUGGGAUAGCAAAGUGGCCCAAUGCGCCUGCCUUGAGAGCAGGUGGCGCUUCGCGCCUCAUGGGUUCAAAUCCCAUUCCCACCG